UACGGAGGGGGCAAGCGUUGUUCGGAAUUACUGGGCGUAAAGCGUGCGCAGGCGGUUUGUUAAGCGAGAUGUGAAAGCCCCGGGCUCAACCUGGGAACUGCAUCCAAAACUGGCGAGCUAGAGUAUGGCAGAGGGUGGUGGAAUUUCCUGUGUAGCGGUGAAAUGCGUAGAUAUAGGAAGGAACACCAGUGGCGAAGGCGACCACCUGGGCUAAUACUGACACUGAGGUGCGAAAGCGUGGGGAGCAAACAGG
This 253-nucleotide ribosomal RNA is filed under the name uncultured microorganism. RNAcentral describes it as "partial 16S ribosomal RNA". It matches the Rfam family "Bacterial small subunit ribosomal RNA", at positions 524 to 776 of the family's 1533-position model. The record is from RNAcentral.